AGAGUUUGAUCCUGGCUCAGAUUGAACGCUGGCGGCAUGCCUUACACAUGCAAGUCGAACGACAGCACGGGGGGUAACUCCUGGUGGCGAGUGGCGAACGGGUGAGUAAUAUAUCGGAACGUGUCCUGUAGCGGGGGAUAACCUAUCGAAAGAUGGACUAAUACCGCAUACGCUCUACGGAGGAAAGCGGGGGUCGCAAGACCUCGCACUAUAGGAGCGGCCGAUAUCGGAUUAGCUAGUUGGCGGGGUAAAAGCCCACCAAGGCGACGAUCCGUAGCUGGUCUGAGAGGAUGAUCAGCCACACUGGAACUGAGACACGGUCCAGACUCCUACGGGAGGCAGCAGUGGGGAAUUUUGGACAAUGGGCGCAAGCCUGAUCCAGCCAUGCCGCGUGAGUGAAGAAGGCCUUCGGGUUGUAAAGCUCUUUCGGCAGGAACGAAAUGGUUCGUGCUAAUACCACGGACUGAUGACGGUACCUGAAGAAGAAGCACCGGCUAACUACGUGCCAGCAGCCGCGGUAAUAC
This 524-nucleotide ribosomal RNA is filed under the name uncultured Burkholderiales bacterium. RNAcentral's name for it is "bacterial SSU rRNA". It matches the Rfam family "Bacterial small subunit ribosomal RNA", at positions 8 to 526 of the family's 1533-position model. The record is from RNAcentral. Lineage: Bacteria; Pseudomonadati; Pseudomonadota; Betaproteobacteria; Burkholderiales.